Platichthys flesus (European flounder) is the source of this 545-nucleotide long non-coding RNA. RefSeq lists it as uncharacterized. The record is from RefSeq and is a predicted model, not a curated record. The transcript has 5 exons. Lineage: Eukaryota; Metazoa; Chordata; Actinopteri; Pleuronectiformes; Pleuronectidae.
GUGCUUUGAGCUCUGGUUUAGUUUUGAGCUUUGCCAUCUCCUGAGGAGAAUAUCCAGCUGUGACGGAAGGUGAGGACGUACUUUGGAGCUGGAUCUGGUGCCAGAGCUGUUUCGGAGAAGCCAUCGUCUUUAGCCUGCUCCGAGCUGGUUUUGUACUCUUCGAGAUAUUCUGCUGGAACAUAUACUGCAGGUGAAGCACGGCAGGGAACGGAGAGAACAGGCAAGAGAGGGGAAACCAAGAUGGCGGCUUCCUGCUGCUCGAACACCAGCAGCGUGGAAGGUCCGGUCCGAUGAGGGAGUGUCUGCGCAGCAUGGCACGAGCCUGGGCGUUGGUCAUGUUGGCGGUGGGCUCUCCGUUGAUGGCCAAGAUGAGGUCGCCGACACCGAGACGUCCGUCGCGGCUAAUCGAGCCGCCGUGGAUUAUGCUGCGGAUCAGCAUCCCCAGACCGUCUUUCAUGGCGCUCACCGUCAUGCCUUUGGAGCACUGGCUCCUCGGCCUCCUUCCUCUCCAGCUCCAGCUCCCUCAGGACGAUGGUGGUGGUGGG